CUGUAACUAAGUUUUCCAACAUCUUCAGGACAGAGGAGUUUGUGCUUUGUGGUUUCUCGGUCACAUGACCAGCUGCCAUUUUAUUUGGCUUUUUAACUUCAUGAGAGAGAGAAAAAGACUUGCGUUAUAGCUGUUAGAACGUAAGUGAGAGCAGGAACUAACCUCACGAGCUUCACGAUCGUCACUAAACAUUAAAUGUGAUUAAAACUAGCUAUAAAGUAGAAGGUGUCACUGCUGUUGUAUAAGGGGAAUAAAACACUUGGAGACGUGUCGCUUUAGGGAAAAAUACAGCUUUGAGGCGGUAACAUUAACUCCGCUUCAUCACACCACUGAUCAUAUAUUUAUUAUAAAAAGUGCUGCAUGACUGGAUCAUAAACAGAACGAUCACCAAGACUCACCUCAGACUGCGUGGCGGAGUUGGUGGACACCAGGCUGGUUUGAGAUCGGUUGUCCGAGUUGAUGUCUUCGAGUAAGUACUCCGACUCAAAGGACUGAGCCGACGCAAGUCGUGUUGCUCUUUGCCCAACUCGCCUUUCUGAACGAUCUGACAGUCCCUCCAAACUCGGACCCUCACCAAGAGAACACAGGGAGGUGGCAACGGAUUUUGAGGGGUUGCGGAGGCUGCUCCUCUGGCCCCAAACCCCAGGAUUUUGUGGUUUGGGAGUCAUUGGCUUAGUUGGUGUAUCAAGUCCUUCAAAGGAACCCAGGGAUCUUGUCCAGGAUGGAGAUAGCUGAUUUGUUAGAGCAAAAACACUAGGGUGCAUGGGUUUCUCCGAGAUGUUCUCAUGACUGUGGACAGCCUCAAAGUUUUUAGCUAAGCCAUUAGAUAGUGUAUUCCUCUCAACAGGCUCCGCCUUAGGUCCAGACACUGAUGCUUCAGAGUGUGAUGUGCUUUUAAAAUCCCCCUUGGAGCUCUGGAAUCCCUGAAGAUCCGGACGAUCCUCGGUUAACCCAGACACUAAGUCACUCAGGUGGCGACAUCUAGACUUGGCACCACUUGGUCCAGGAAGAGAGAGAGUUCUCUUUAGCAUCUCAGAAUCCUUAGACAUUUUUCUCUUCACCCAAGGUUGCUUGGAUUUUGUAUCCUGGUUCAGAACGCUGGGAUCCUGUUGGUGGUCUUUUUCAGCAGUUCGGAUCUCGAACAAGCUCGACAGAGACUUCUGAGCCAGUGCGAGCUUCAUGCGGAAGUUAUCACUGCUCUUGCUUUUCUUCUGGGGAUCAAGAACAGGUUUCGUUUGCCCUCGCUCACUGUAACUGUCAUGUUGUUGUGUAUUCUUGGAGCUGGACGUGGAUUUGGAUUGUUCAUUCCAGGUUACACCAAGGGCUUUCCCCAAGACCACAUCACUAGAUUGAUCCUCGUAUUUUGUCGAGUGAUCUACAGUAGGAUUAUGACUAGGUGUCUGAUUUCUCUCCUCUCCAACCUCAGGAGAUAUUUUGCUCUCAGGUUCAACCUUGCUUCCAACCUUGAUCUCUCUCUUGCUUUUGCGGAAGGAGGGGAUUCUUGUGAACCUGGAGAACUUUGAGCUUUUCCCUGCAGACAUGCUCUUGGUCUCCUUGUUCUUUAAUAAGCUCUGGCUGCUGCCAGUGGAGUUCGAGUUGCUUCCUGUUGUGCCGUGACUGGGAUCUUCAACUUCUUCACUGUUUGUUGUAAUAAAGUCUUGAUCUGGAGAUGCGGAAUUGGGAAUAUCAUCAUCAUCAUCAUCAUCAUUAGCAUCACACUCGUUUGUCAGACAAGAGGUGGUGUCUACAUCUUCUGGUUUAUCAGAAAAUCCUCUCAUAGACCCGACAUUGUAUAGCGCAUCAUUUUCAUCCCUUUGUAAAGGGGUGCAUUCGUCCUCAUUCGCAGAUGAUACAAGAUCCUUCAGUUCUCCAUUCAAACUCUCUGAGAUCUCCUGAGGGUGCUCCGACUCCAUAAUGGGCUCCAAAUCUGAUACUAGGCCAGUGCUAACAUCUAUAGAAGGGUAACUCUGGAUCUGAAGUGAAUCUGGACAAAAAGGUGCUGCUUCGGAUUCAUAAGUUCCUGAUCCACUGGUAACACUGAUUGAGGCAGAGUGAGGCAUUAGGCUUUGCUCUCGGAGGAUCUUCUGACAUGUAGGUCCAUUUAUAGAAAGAGCGUAUGAAAACUCAGAGCUCUGACAACUGGAAUGAAUCAGUCCACGGUGAGCAUCCGCGACUGGACGGACAGUAGGAUCUGCCAUGAUGUCCUGGUGUUCCCCCAACUGGCACUCUUUACCAUACAUCUUCCCCUGAGAAGCAUCUUCUACAUCAAGUGGAUUUGAAUGAUCCCUUUUGUAAUCCAUCAUGACUCGUUCAGAGAUCUCAAAGAAGCCGGCAGAAUUGUUUGAUAAAUUUGAGAAGACGUUCGAGGGACCAUCUUGCAUGGAUGGAUGCACAUGAUUCCAGAGUUCCUGUUCUAGUGUAGGAGCAUGUAAAGUGCAAGGUGUCUCAGACGUAGCCUGGUCUCCUUGCAGGACCUGUUUAGUGAAUUUGGUGAUGUUAAGAGAACCUAAAGGAGUCGAUUCCUUGAAUAAAACCUCAACUGGACCUGGUAGUUGUCCUACAUAGCUGUCUACAACAUCUCCUCGAACACAAUCGAAGGGAACACGUUGUGAUUCUUUACCAGCUGAAGAUGGCAUCACAUAAGAGUCGAUAUAACCCGAGUUAUCUGAAUAAAUGACCUCCUGCUCUUUCUGGGGUAUGACCGUGAAUUCCUUCACACUGAAAGUGUUCAGAAACGGCACAUUUAUCAAAUCAUCUACAUUUUUAGACCGCCUUUCAGUUUGAUCAUUGUCCAAAUCCAAAGUUUGUUCAUCAUUCAUUGGAACGUGAAGCUCUGGAAUAAAACCGUUAGCACACGACGGACUCGAGGAAUCUUCCUCUGCUGAAUAAUCAUCACUGUCUUUAAUAGACGGAGAACUUUCGAAUAAGUUCUCCUUGUUGAUGUUUGGAUUGGAAAAGUGUCUCUGAUCCUUUUGGAGUGAUGUUACACCUUCAGACUGAAGACUAGAGCUGACAGAAGACUGAACACAAGGACAUCCACCCAUUAAUGGAUCUACGAACAUCUUCGCAUCUACUGAUAGAUCCACAAAUAUGUUACUAUUUACCUCUGAAGGUUUGACCCUAGCUUCAUCAAUCUGUCCCAGAUGUUCUACCAUAUUUGUGCUUAAAAUUAUCUGUGAUAAUUCAGGAACAGUGAGAUUCUCCAUUUUAUUUACAUUAUCUGAUUCUUCUUCAUUUCUACUUGCACCAGUUAAAUCAGAUGCGUUCUCUAAAGAAGGCUCUGCUUCACUUCCAUCUGGUGGUGCAAGGGUGUGUUUACAAGAUGUAAAAAGGUGUGAACUGAUCGAAUCUGUGUUGUACGUGCCAUCCUGAGAGAUGGAAAGAAGUUCAGCUACCUCAGGAGAUGGACCAUUUAGAACUUCAUCCUGCCCUGGAUCACCUAAAAUCACUGCAUUGGGGUCCAAGAGUACAAUGAGUUCCUCUCCAUCCUUGUUCUUCUCCAGACCUUCAUUCUGUGAAGGAAGUCCAGUUUCCUCAGGAGAUAAACAAUGAUCAAUUUCUGCAUUCUCAACAUCAUCUUCUCCAUUGCAUUCACUUGCUAAUGGUACCACGAGUUCCUCUUUAUCAGUUCCCUUUCUUUCAGAAUAAGACGAGUCCAGAUUUCUGAUUUCAGGAGAGCUUGUAGGAGAAGGUAUGCUCCCAUGAUCUGUUCUCGAACCAUCUAAAUGAAAAGUGCUGUCUAACUGGGAUUCGGCCUUAAUUUUGUCUCUCAUUGUAGGGAUCUCCUCAGAAGUCAGGUUUUUUGAUGUUGUAUGAGAUACACUAGCUUGUGAGACAGAUGAAAAUCCAGCUUCCUCAAGAGAUGAACCUUUUAAAACUUCAUCACACCUUGAGACAUCUAAAUUAAAUGCAUUGCAGCCACCUACCAGAGGUACUGAGAGUUCCUCUCCCUCCGCAUUCACCUCCAGGCCAUCAUUCUUUCUUUCUGAAUGAGCAGAGUCCAGGUUUCUGAGGUCAGUAAAGUGUUCAGAAGAAGAAAAGUCCACAUGGUCUAAAUCAGAAGAGGUUUCUAAUUGGGGUUCUGCUUCACUUCGGUCAGUGAGGGUUAGUGUGCACGUAGAAGCUGUAAAACUUUGUGAAUCGAUUGAGUCUGUGUCAGACACGCUAGCUUGACAGAUGGAAGGAAGUCCAGCUUCCUCAGAAGAUAACCGAUUAACAAUUUCUGCAUUCUCCAGAUCAUCUGCAGUUACUACACUGCAGUCAUUAGCCAGUGGUACCAUGAGUUGCUCUCCAUCCGUGUUCAUCUCCAGACCACUGUUCUUCCUUUCUGAAGGAGAAGAGUCCAGAUCCCUGAGGUCAGGAGAGCUUUUAGGAGAAGGGAAAUCAAAUUGAUCUUCACGUGCAAAGUCUAGAUCGGAACUAGGUCUGUCUAACUGGGCCACAGCUUCAGUUUGGUCAGUAAUCAAAGCUGUGUCAGACGUGCUGGCCUGGGAGAUGAAGGGAAGUCCAGCUUCCUUGGACAAGGUCUCAAACGAUGAUGGAUCCACAAUUUCGUCACAGGAUAAAGAAUCUAAAAUCACUGCACUGUAGUUUCCUGUCAAAGGUACUACAAGUUCUUCUGUGACUGUUUUUAAUUGAACGCCAUCAUUCUUGAUUUCUAAAUGAACUAAGUCCAGAUGUUUGUGGUCAGGAGAAGAACAUUCUACAAGAUCUCUGCUUGGGGCGUCUGAUUCUGAUGCGUUGUCUAACUGGAGCACUGUGUCAGUUUGGUCAGUAGAUGUAAGUGUAUCUUCAGUUGUAAAAAGUUCUGAAUCCGUCAAGUCUUUUGAUGCAGUGUUGGUGUGCAAGAUGGAAGGAAGUCCAGCUUCCUCAAGAAAUGACCAGUUUGCAGCUUCAUCAUCUGAAUCAUCUAAAAUCACUGCACUGACCACUACUGCACUAUUUUCCAGUGGUACUUUGUGUUGCACUUCAUCAGCGUUCAUCUGCUGACCAUCAUUCUUUAUUUCUGAAUGAGAUGACUCCAGGUUUUCCAGGUCUCUGAGGUCAGGAGAACGUUUAGGAGAACAAUCCACUUGAUCGUUGCUUGCAACAACUAAAUUUGAAGUGUUUUCUAACUGACGAGCUUCUUCACUUCUACAGGUGAGCUCUACAGGUGUCUCUACGGAAGUUGGAAAAAGUUGUGAAUCGAUCACAUCCGGGUCGGAUACGCAAACCUCAGAGAUGGAAGGUAGCCCAGCUUCCUUGGAGAAAAUCCUAACAGCUGAAACAUCAGCAGCAUUAUGAUCGAGAAUGAUCACCCUGCACUCCCUUGUCAAUGGUUCCAGGAGUUGCUCUCCAUCCGUGUUCAUCUCCAGACCACUGUUCUUCCCUUCUGAAUGAGAAGAGUCCAGAUUCCUGAGGUCAGGAGAGCUUUUAGGAGAAGGAAAGAUCCCAUGAUCUCUGUGAUUGCUUGUAACAGUGAAAUCUGAAGUGCUGUUUAACUCUGGUUCUGAUGUACUUCUGUAGAUCAGAUCAGGUUUCUCUUGAGGAAUUGUGAAAAGUUGUGAAUCCGUCAAAUUUGGGACAGAGACACUAGCCUGAGAGAUGAAAGGAAGUCCAGCUUCCUCAACGGAUGAACCAUUUAGAACUUCAUCACACCCUGAAUGAAGAUUUCUGAGGUCAGGAGAGCUUCUAGGAGAAGAACAUUUCCUAUGAUCUGUGCUUAAAUCAGGAGUUUGUUCUAACCGCGGCGCUGCUUCACUUCUGUCAGUCAGCGUAAGGGUUUCUUCAGACGUAGCCUGAGAAAUGGAAGGAAGUCCAGCUUCCUCCGACACGAUCUCAAGAGAUGAACGAUGCCCUGAAUGAUCUGAAAUCAUUACACUGGACUCACUGGAUAAUAGUGCCAGGAGUUGCUCUUCACCAGUGUUUAUCUCGAGAACAUCAUCCAUUCUUUCUGAAUAAGAAGAGUCCAGCUUUCGGAGGCAUUUAGAAGAAGAAACAUCCACAAGAUCUCUGCUUGCAACAACUAAAUCCGAACCAGUUAAGUCUUCUGCUGCUGUGCUGGACUGCAGGAUGGAAGGAAGUCCAGCUUCCUCAGAUGGUGACUGAUUUGCAGCUUCAUCACACCCUGAAUCCUCCAAAAUCACUGCAUCGCAGCUGUCCUCCACCUGUACCAGGAGUUCCUCACCAGUUGUAAAAAGUUGUGAAUCGGAGUCUUUUGGUGCAUCCAACACGCUGGUAUGUGAGAGAAAGGGAAGUCCAGCUUCCUCGAGAACUGCACAUCCUGAAUCCGAGUCUGGGAAGCUGCACUCGCUUCCCAAUGCUACCGUGAGUUCCUCUCCAUCCGUGUUCCGCUGUGGACCACCAACUACCGCAUGCUGACCUUCUGAGUCCUGCUUUCUGAGGCCAGGGGAGCGUUUAGGAGAAGAGAAGUUCACGUGAUCUCCAAUAUAAUCCGAGGAAGCGUCGCCGUGCCACGAGCACGUCUCAAAAUACUCCUCAGUCAUGUCCUGAGCUUCUUCCAGUGCUGAUUCUCUCCAAACAUCUCGACUUUCUGCGCUCUUCUCCUGGAGAGAGUCGACAUCUUCUGGAUGAGCAGCAUGUGUAGCGAAG
This is a long non-coding RNA of Ictalurus punctatus (channel catfish), 6591 nucleotides long. The record is from Ensembl. NCBI's taxonomy places the organism in Eukaryota, Metazoa, Chordata, Actinopteri, Siluriformes, Ictaluridae.